RNAcentral lists this ribosomal RNA (528 nucleotides) under Enterobacter hormaechei. RNAcentral describes it as "bacterial SSU rRNA". It matches the Rfam family "Bacterial small subunit ribosomal RNA", at positions 1 to 522 of the family's 1533-position model. The record is from RNAcentral. Lineage: Bacteria; Pseudomonadati; Pseudomonadota; Gammaproteobacteria; Enterobacterales; Enterobacteriaceae.
UGGAGAGUUUGAUCCUGGCUCAGAUUGAACGCUGGCGGCAGGCCUAACACAUGCAAGUCGAACGGUAACAGGAAGCAGCUUGCUGCUUCGCUGACGAGUGGCGGACGGGUGAGUAAUGUCUGGGAAACUGCCUGAUGGAGGGGGAUAACUACUGGAAACGGUAGCUAAUACCGCAUAACGUCGCAAGACCAAAGAGGGGGACCUUCGGGCCUCUUGCCAUCGGAUGUGCCCAGAUGGGAUUAGCUAGUAGGUGGGGUAACGGCUCACCUAGGCGACGAUCCCUAGCUGGUCUGAGAGGAUGACCAGCCACACUGGAACUGAGACACGGUCCAGACUCCUACGGGAGGCAGCAGUGGGGAAUAUUGCACAAUGGGCGCAAGCCUGAUGCAGCCAUGCCGCGUGUAUGAAGAAGGCCUUCGGGUUGUAAAGUACUUUCAGCGGGGAGGAAGGCGAUAAGGUUAAUAACCUUGUCGAUUGACGUUACCCGCAGAAGAAGCACCGGCUAACUCCGUGCCAGCAGCCGCGGUA